This 249-nucleotide ribosomal RNA is filed under the name uncultured bacterium. RNAcentral describes it as "partial 16S ribosomal RNA". It matches the Rfam family "Bacterial small subunit ribosomal RNA", at positions 524 to 768 of the family's 1533-position model. The record is from RNAcentral.
UACGAAGGGGGCUAGCGUUGCUCGGAAUCACUGGGCGUAAAGGGUGCGUAGGUGGCGCCAUAAGUCGGGUGUGAAAUCUCGGGGCUUAACUCCGAAACUGCCUUUGAUACUGAAGAUCUUGAGUUCGGGAGAGGUGAGUGGAACUGCGAGUGUAGAGGUGAAAUUCGUAGAUAUUCGCAAGAACACCAGUGGCGAAGGCGGACUCACUGGCCCGAGUACCGUGACGCUGAGGCACGAAAGCGUGGGGAA